UAUAAAUUUCGUACUGCAAACCGACUACAGGUGGACUAGUAUAUAUACUCAGGCCAUAGAAUCUACCAUGUUAAAGGAACUCGGCAAAAUGCACUCGUGACCUUGGAGGAUGAGUGGCUAAAUAGACACAGAAAAUAGCCGACAGCGACUGUUUACCAAAAACACAGGAUAGUGCUAACAGUUUCAUAUCUGGCUGUAUACUAUCCGACGCCUGCCCAAAGGCGAAAGCAAACGGCGGCAGUAACCCUGACUGUCCUAAGGUAGCGAAAUUCCUUGACGUUUAAUUGGCGUCCUUGCAUGAAUGGCUGAACGACUGUCGGGCUGUCUCUAACAUGGAAUCUGUGAAUUUGAAAUCUUCGUGCAGAUGCGAAGGUGCUGGCAAGGGACGAAGAGACCCUAUGCAGCUUUGCUGGGUGCGUAGAGUUAGUCGUGAAUUGUUACGGUGGAUAUUAACCUGACGGGAGCCUCUCCUUGUUACCACGUGUAUCCAGACAUUGACUCUAAGGCUCAAGCUUUUCUGGGACGGAUGCUUCCUGAAUAGUAACGGGAGUGAACAACGGUACUACUACGACUUAAAUAGAAAGUAGUGCUUGACUGCAAGAACCACUGUUCGAGCAGGGA
Molecule: ribosomal RNA, 621 nt
Filed under: Yamagishiella unicocca
Lineage: Eukaryota; Viridiplantae; Chlorophyta; Chlorophyceae; Chlamydomonadales; Volvocaceae
Description: LSU rRNA
Rfam family: Bacterial large subunit ribosomal RNA
Source: RNAcentral